This 568-nucleotide ribosomal RNA is filed under the name uncultured bacterium. RNAcentral describes it as "partial 16S ribosomal RNA". It matches the Rfam family "Bacterial small subunit ribosomal RNA", at positions 355 to 914 of the family's 1533-position model. The record is from RNAcentral.
UGGGGAAUUUUGGACAAUGGGCGAAAGCCUGAUCCAGCAAUGCCGCGUGUGUGAAGAGGGCCUUCGGGUUGUAAAGCACUUUUGUCCGGAAAGAAAUCCUUGGCUCUAAUACAGUCGGGGGAUGACGGUACCGGAAGAAUAAGCACCGGCUAACUACGUGCCAGCAGCCGCGGUAAUACGUAGGGUGCAAGCGUUAAUCGGAAUUACUGGGCGUAAAGCGUGCGCAGGCGGUUUGCUAAGACCGAUGUGAAAUCCCCGGGCUCAACCUGGGAACUGCAUUGGUGACUGGCAGGCUAGAGUAUGGCAGAGGGGGGUAGAAUUCCACGUGUAGCAGUGAAAUGCGUAGAGAUGUGGAGGAAUACCGAUGGCGAAGGCAGCCCCCUGGGCCAAAUACUGACGCUCAUGCACGAAAGCGUGGGGAGCAAACAGGAUUAGAUACCCUGGUAGUCCACGCCCUAAAACGAUGUCAACUAGUUGUUGGGGAUUCAUUUCCUUAGUAACGUAGCUAACGCGUGAAGUUGACCGCCUGGGGAGUACGGUCGCAAGAUUAAAACUUAAAGGAAUUGAC